This is a long non-coding RNA of Tympanuchus pallidicinctus (lesser prairie-chicken), 1185 nucleotides long. RefSeq lists it as uncharacterized. Lineage: Eukaryota; Metazoa; Chordata; Aves; Galliformes; Phasianidae. The transcript is spliced from 4 exons. The record is from RefSeq and is a predicted model, not a curated record.
UGCAGGUCAGGAGUGUGCCUGGAGACCAUCACAAAUUAAAUAUGAUGAUUGGUGUGAUGUAGUGUUCUAAUGUGUCAGGACAGAGAGUUUCCAGCUGGAACUUGAUGAGUCACACAGCUUUUCUUCCUUUUGGUAUUAUUCAAUUAUUUUAGGAGACUUUUUUCUUCAAUUGGGCAGAGGUUACAUCCUGCUGCUCAAAACAAGCACAACAGCAAGGGCGAUAAUGACCAAACAAUCUGUAUUUCUGCUGUCGUUCAUUCAUUUUCCACAGUGCUCUGUAAACACGGAGCCUUGACAAGUGUAACUGAUCCACAUACUAUUGUGACAUUAAAGCUGAAAGAUGUGGAUGAAGCAGUGACAGAAACACACAAAAAAAAGAGCAUUAAAAUGAAGUUUGGUUCCAAGCUGCAGAAGCAGUUGCACAAACUGAAGAAUAAAGAUGUGAGAAAUUUGUGAGAAAAAUGCAGAAGCCUGAGUCAACAUUUAUUUGAACACCAUCUGCCUAAUGCUGAAGACAAAUCUCCACACACAGAGGUAAUCACACCUACAUCAUUUUGAUUUCCAGAACAAAGCCAUUUCUCUAACAAAGGAUACUACCAAUCCAGACCUGAAAUGGUUUUCUUUCUGUUUUCUCCAGAAGCAGAGGAGUGCUGGGGGCCUUGGGUAAAUGGAGAUUUGUUCCAAAUUAGGAACUAAUCAGUCAGGAAAGAAUAGCAAUGAAUAAAUUGUUUACAGUCAAAAUCUCUUCAUUUAUACCGAUCAUAAUUACAUUUUGCACUCAAACGUUGGAGCAUGUCUGUGUGCUUAGUGACUGUCUGCUGCUGUGACUGCACAAGUGAAUUACCUUCACUAUAAGCCAGAAGUUUUCCUGUCCAGCUUUCUACAUCUUGCAUUUUUCCCCUGGGUUCAAGAAAAAUUGAUGCUGAACUCUCUGGGAAAACGAUCCUGGUUUUUGAGAGAGCGAGGUGGAGGAAACAACUAUGUGGUGCUCCCCAAUGAGAACAAGGGCUGUCCCAUGAGCCACUAAGGCUCAGCCUUAUUGCUCGCCCACCACAUCAGCUUGUUGUUGGUGCAGCCCUGCACACAGAUCUCAGAAAUCCCCUCUGCACCCUCUCGAUGAAGCUCAAGCUGUUCUGACCAACUCAAAUUAGUAACAGCAUGAGGAGACACGAGGUCAUUCUGACC